CCUACGGGUGGCAGCAGUGAGGAAUAUUGGUCAAUGGCCGAGAGGCUGAACCAGCCAAGUCGCGUGAGGGAAGACGGCCCUACGGGUUGUAAACCUCUUUUGUCGGGGAGCAAAGAGAGUCACGUGUGACUCAUUGAGAGUACCCGAAGAAAAAGCAUCGGCUAACUCCGUGCCAGCAGCCGCGGUAAUACGGAGGAUGCGAGCGUUAUCCGGAUUUAUUGGGUUUAAAGGGUGCGCAGGCGGAGGUGCAAGUCAGCGGUCAAAUUGCGGGGCUCAACCCCGUCGAGCCGUCGGAACUGGCAGUCUUGAGUGGGCGAGAAGUAUGCGGAAUGCGUGGUGUAGCGGUGAAAUGCAUAGAUAUCACGCAGAACGCCGAUUGCGAAGGCAGCAUACCGGCGCCCAACUGACGCUGAGGCACGAAAGCGUGGGGAUCGAACAGGAUUAGAUACCCCAGUAGUC
RNAcentral lists this ribosomal RNA (459 nucleotides) under uncultured bacterium. Its description in RNAcentral is "partial 16S ribosomal RNA". It matches the Rfam family "Bacterial small subunit ribosomal RNA", at positions 338 to 795 of the family's 1533-position model. The record is from RNAcentral.